Molecule: long non-coding RNA, 3407 nt
Filed under: Homo sapiens (human)
Lineage: Eukaryota; Metazoa; Chordata; Mammalia; Primates; Hominidae
Description: HSALNT0051003
Source: RNAcentral
GCUGUGUCAUGGGUGUGCGUCCUCAACCUUGGCAAAAUAAACUUUCCAAAUUAACUGAGACCUAUCUCAGAUUUUCGGGGUUCAUAAGGCUAAGGAAGUAUUGUCUCAGGGAUUUUUAUUUUUUACUGUUUUGCUCGGAAGGAAGCAGGAAGUAGUUCCCCUAAACACUUCCCCAGCUUGGCAUUCUCAAGGUGGCUCUCAGCUCCCUGGCCUCCAGAGGUGUCUCCUUUUUCUCUUUUCCUCAUUGUCUGGCACAUAGAGGGGAGAGAAACCAUUUUUUAUUUUACGUUAUUUUUUAUUUUUUAAUUUUAAUUUUAAUUUGAGACGGAGUUUCACUCUCAUUGCCCAAGCUGGAGUGCAAUGGCGUGAUCUCAGCUCACUGCAGCCUCCUGUCAGAGAUGAUAAAUUCCUCUUCAAAAAGGUUUAGUUCUCUGUUCUUUGUUUCUUAAGACCAACUUCCUUGUACAUCCUUGUCUCCUAGCUACCUGUUCUGUAAACAGCCUUCCUGCCUUCGCCAGGCCCAGACAAGUCCAGAUAUGCCUUCCCACCUAGUAACGGAUAGUUCCUCUUCCUUCCCACCUAAUAGACCCUAUUCAAUUUUAAAUCUUAGCCAAUCGAAUUAGCUUAGAUUGUGAAGUCCAACCCCAGCCAAUGCGGAAAGGACACAGAAGUGCUAGGAACUGCAUUAGGGAUUAAAAACCCCUGCCCUACCCUGCUUGGUGUGCUCUUGCGAUUGUGACUAGCACAAGCUGCACCCUUCUGCAGAAGUAAAUUUGCCUUGCUGAGGAAUUUUCUGCCUAUGUGCUGUUUUUCUUUGUGGCACCAGGCACUUGUUUCUAACAAACUUGGGGGUUCAUCUGGGAUUCCCAUUCUCCUCCGGGGAGGGUCUCAGAUCAUUUCUCGUGAGGAGACGCAGCCCGCUGCUUUGUUGCGGUGGCCUCAAGGGUAAGGGAUCGAGACCCACCUGGUGUGAUGAAUAAACCUGGACUCUAGCAAUGAGGGAAGAAAAGGCAGACAGAUACUGUGGCGACCAGGUAACUCUGUGCAUAGACCAAGGACUCAAGGCCUCCUAGCACAAACUCCACCCAUUGAAUUACCAGUUCAUCAACACCAGCCUGGAGAUCACAUCCUUAUCAGAAGUUGGAAAGAGGGAAAGCUCGAACCCACUUGGGAAGGACCAUACCUAGUGCUCCUCACAACUGAGACAGCAGUCCGGACCGUUGAGAGAGGAUGGACGCAUCAUACCCGGGUACCCCUCUCCAAAAUGAAGUCUCGUUCAGUCACCUAGGCUGGAGUGCAGUGGCAUGAUCUCAGCUCCCUGCAACCUCUGCCUCCCGGGUUCAAGUGAUUCCCCUGCCUCGGCCUCCUGAGUGCCUGGGACUACAGGUGUGCAGCACCAUACCCGGCUAAUUUUUGUAUUUUUAGUAGAGACGGGGUUUUGCUAUGUUGGCCAGGGUGGUCUGAAACUCCAGGCCUCAAGUGAUCUGCCUGCCUCGGUCUCCCAAAGUGCUGGGAUUACAGGCAUUAGCCACCACACCUGGCCCUAACUCAGGGUUUCUUAACCUUGGUCCUACCAUUGACAUUUGGGCUGCAUGACUCUUCAUUGUGGGGAGCUGUCGUGUGUACUGGGUGAUGACAUUUACCAUUAUCCCUAGCCUCCACUCACUUGAUGCCAGUAGCUGCAAGCCCCCAGUCAUGACAACCCAAAAUGUUACCAGACACUGCCAGGUAUCCCCUGGGGGAUAGAACCACUGAUCCAACUGAAGAACAUGCACCCUGAACUACUACACUCCAUUCCCACCCAAGAGUGCAGCUUUCAGCUCGAAGUAAGGCAGAACUUUCUAAAAAAGAUGUUAUCCAACAAUGCAACAAGUUACCUUGAGAAAGACAGUAAGCUCCCCAACAUGGGAAGCAUGAAAGAAGAGGCAACCUGGAUCUGAUUCCAAAUUAGAAAUACUCCAAACUUCCUCAAGGGCAAUGCAAUUAUUUACCUAAAUAAAGCUCAGCAACGUUGGUUUUAGAUAAAGCACCUAGUACAGUGUCUGGCAUACAUGAGGUGCUCAAUUAAUAGCAGUGGUUGUGUUUUCUUCCAUUUCUUGGUGAGCACCACCAUCCUGUACCUGGCCCAUUCAGGAUCAGAGGACUCAUCCUUGACCUUUCCUUGUUUUUCACUGUGGUGGAAGCUGCUAAUAGUCUCCUCUCAUGUCUAAGACUAGAACUCUGCUUCUCAGCUGAGUAUACAGCUGCCUGGAAUAGAAACUACAUUUCCCAGACUCCUUUGUAGCUGGGUGUGACCAUGUGACUAAAUUCCAAUGGAAUGUAAAUGCAAGUGUUGUUUGCAACUUCCAGAAAACAGCCUUAAAAUAAAGGUGUGUACUUUUCUUUGGCCUUUCAUUCUUCUAGCUGGCUGGAUUGUGGAUAUGAUGAGUAGUGCUUAAGCAGCCAUCUUGGGACCAUAAGGAAAAGCCACACAAUUAGGAAAGUGAAGCAGCCAUCGGGACAGACUUGAGGUCCCUGAUGAUCAUGGGGCUGCCAUAUCAGCGAGGACUGCCCACCUCUGGACCUCACGUCUAUUUCAUGGAAGCCAUUGUUAGCUAGUGUUUUCUAUCACAUACAGCCAACUCGAAUCCUAAUUGAUACACUGUCCCUGACUUCAAAGAGUUGAUAAAUUAGCAUGCGAAGAAAUACACAAGAUAAACAGCAUCAAAACAAUUAAAUUAAAAACCCUAGAAUUCAGCUGGGACAAACGUGGUGACUGGUAUAAGAUCAAGGCAGGUAGCUGGACAGCAGAGGGAAGAACUGCCUCUCUCAAGGCAAAAUGCGGACGUCAGAAAGGACAUCAGAGAAGAAGUGAUAUGCAAGCCAGGCUUUGAAGGAUGGGUGGAAUUUCUCCAGCAGGAAGAAAGAGGUAUUUAAGGCUCAGUAGAAGAAAGACUCAAAGUACACAGCUGAGUUUGAGGAAUUGGGAGGAGUCAUUGGAAGUGCCUAGAGCACAGAACGAUGAGUCUGGAAGCACACGCUGGGGCCAAGGUGUAAGUAAGCUUCUUUACACGUUGAUGCCAUUUCCCUGCCUGGAACAUUCUUUUGCCUUGAAACUCUUACUUGUUCCUUUCUCUUGGUAUCCUCAACUUCUAACAUGCUCCUCUUUUAUCAACUUUCUUGUGGGAUUAUCAUUCUUUAGCUGAUUCUCCUCCAACUAAAUGGGGAGCAACUCCAGGGCAUGGAGGAUGUCCACUAUUUCUGUCUCUGAAGUGCAACACCAUGGGGACAUCCCAUUCGCUGACAGCAGGGACCCUGCAUUUUCGCUUGCCAUCAUUUCUCCUGAGCCUGGCACCAGGCUGGCACAUGAUAGGUGCUCAACAGAGGUUUACUGGAUGAGCCCUGAAAAAACAAGACCCAGGGUCGGG